Molecule: ribosomal RNA, 493 nt
Filed under: Gastrotheca gracilis (La Banderita marsupial frog)
Lineage: Eukaryota; Metazoa; Chordata; Amphibia; Anura; Hemiphractidae
Description: partial 12S ribosomal RNA
Rfam family: Bacterial small subunit ribosomal RNA
Source: RNAcentral
ACUAUGUCUAGCCGUAAACCUUAAACUACUGCUUAAUCGCCAGGGAACUACGAGCAAAGCUUAAAACCCAAAGGACUUGACGGUACCCCAUAUCCACCUAGAGGAGCCUGUCCUAUAAUCGAUACCCCACGUUAAACCUCACCAUUUUCUAGUUUAUCAGCCUGUAUACCUCCGUCGUCAGCUUACCGCGUGAGCGACUCCAGUGAGCUUAAUGGUUUUACACCAAUACGUCAGGUCAAGGUGCAGCAAAUGAAAUGGGAAGAGAUGAGCUACACUUUCUAAUUUAGAAAAAACGAAAGACUCUAUGAAACCUAGUCAGAAGGCGGAUUUAGAAGUAAGGGAAAAUCAGAACGUUCCCCUUAACCCGGCACUGGGGUGUGUACACACCGCCCGUCACCCUCUUCAAAAACCAAUUGUAGUAUUUAACUAGCCAACGUACAAAAGAAGAGGUAAGUCGUAACAUGGUAAGUAUACCGGAAGGUGUACUUGGACA